UACGUAGGGGGCUAGCGUUGUCCGGAUUUAUUGGGCGUAAAGAGCGUGUAGGCGGCCAUGUAGGUCCGUUGUGAAAACUCGAGGCUCAACCUCGAGACGCCGAUGGAAACCAUGUGGCUAGAGUCCGGAAGAGGAGAGUGGAAUUCCUGGUGUAGCGGUGAAAUGCGCAGAUAUCAGGAAGAACACCCGUGGCUAAGGCGGCUCUCUGGUACGGUACUGACGCUGAGACGCGAAAGCGUGGGGAGCGAACAGG
Molecule: ribosomal RNA, 253 nt
Filed under: uncultured bacterium
Lineage: Bacteria
Description: partial 16S ribosomal RNA
Rfam family: Bacterial small subunit ribosomal RNA
Source: RNAcentral